Molecule: long non-coding RNA, 612 nt
Organism: Hippocampus comes (tiger tail seahorse)
Lineage: Eukaryota; Metazoa; Chordata; Actinopteri; Syngnathiformes; Syngnathidae
Exons: 2
Source: RefSeq, a predicted model, not a curated record
AGACACGCCACACGCAAUCGGUUACGCCUUUGCGCUCAAAGGCUGCGCAUGAUUAUUCACGAUCUCCCUCCUUUGAUCGUGUUUACGCAAACGUGGGACAAAUAUGCAGCCAGUCAAAUUGCGUAGCAUUCGUGAGAUGAAUUCCCUCCACGUAAUCCACAAAACGAGAGGAUCAUUAACUAUACAAACCAAGUCUCACCCCACCCCCUUUUUGAGACCAGAACAUGUUCAAUAUUUGCUAUGUGUGGGAAAGCAAACAGGGUGGCAAAUAUGGCGACGAAUGUCUAUGAGUAGCGUGUGGAAGCUUAUCCGGAUGCAUAAUUCAUCAUUUUAAUCCAGUGGUGGGACUUAAUCAGGUGCAAACACUGACAACGUAUUUCGGGCUUUGGAACUUCAGUUGUUGUUUGUUUUUCAAACAACUUUGACUCCCUGCUUGAAGAAACACACGAUACUUUCUGUACUUUCUUCUUGGCGAGGGUCUGCAGCUCUUGGUUGGGACCAUCACUGACUGAGGUCACUUGACAAUGGACUUCCGGCAUUUGGGCAUUUCCUUCUCCUCGGUCUUCCUCCAGACUCUGGCACCUUGAUUUCCGAAUGAUUUGCUUUCAUCCG